CAAUAGCGUAUAUUAAAGUUGUUGCAGUUAAAAAGCUCGUAGUUGGAGUUCAGAGUGAGCUCAGCCGGUCGGGAUUAUGUCUCAGAACUGGUUGACUCUCUCUUGUUUGUGGAUCCUGUUCGGAGUUAACUCGUCGGAUGUGGAGUCCACAUCGUUUACCUUGAAAAAUUAGAGUGUUCAAAGCAGGCGUUUGCUUGAAUAUAUUAGCAUGGAAUAAUGGAAUAGGACGCUGGUUCUAUUUUGUUGGUUUUGAGAACCAGAGUAAUGAUUAAUAGGGACAGUUGGGGGCGAUUCAUAUUUCAUUGUCAGAGGUGAAAUUCUUGGAUUUGUUUAAAGAACGGACUACUGCGAAAGACAUUUGUCCAAGGAUGUUUUCUAUUAAUUCAAGAACGAAAGUUAAGGGGAGUCGAAGAUGAUUAGAUACCAU
RNAcentral lists this ribosomal RNA (427 nucleotides) under uncultured eukaryote. RNAcentral describes it as "bacterial SSU rRNA". It matches the Rfam family "Eukaryotic small subunit ribosomal RNA", at positions 592 to 1018 of the family's 1831-position model. The record is from RNAcentral.